GAAAUUUUGAAGAAAAUUUAGACAUGGCACCUCUGCAACAAGUGGACCAGCCCUGCUUGGCUGAAUGGCGAAUUUUGCUUCCUCUAUUGAAUGAAUGUGGCAACCGGCGAUUUGGCAAUUGAAGCUUUCUAUUUCAAAUAAAGAUUCUUUGGAAUUUAGUAUCGUAUUGGAAAUAUUUUGAAAUAAAUAUUCAUUGUAAUUUAGUAUUGAGUAUUUUGAAUAAAUAAAUAUUCAUUGUA
Molecule: long non-coding RNA, 239 nt
Organism: Anneissia japonica
Lineage: Eukaryota; Metazoa; Echinodermata; Crinoidea; Comatulida; Comatulidae
Exons: 2
Source: RefSeq, a predicted model, not a curated record